CCUACGGGUGGCUGCAGUGGGGAAUAUUGGACAAUGGGCGAAAGCCUGAUCCAGCCAUGCCGCGUGUGUGAAGAAGGCCUUCGGGUUGUAAAGCACUUUCAGUGGGGAAGAAAGCCUUGGGGCUAAUACCCUCGAGGAAGGACAUCACCCACAGAAGAAGCACCGGCUAACUCCGUGCCAGCAGCCGCGGUAAUACGGAGGGUGCGAGCGUUAAUCGGAAUUACUGGGCGUAAAGCGCGCGUAGGCGGUCUGAUAAGCCGGUUGUGAAAGCCCCGGGCUCAACCUGGGAACGGCAUCCGGAACUGUCAGGCUAGAGUGCAGGAGAGGAAGGUAGAAUUCCCGGGGUAGCGGGGAAAUGCGUAGAGAUCGGGAGGAAUACCAGUGGCGAAGGCGGCCUUCUGGACUGACACUGACGCUGAGGUGCGAAAGCGUGGGUAGCAAACAGGAUUAGAUACCCCUGUAGUC
Molecule: ribosomal RNA, 465 nt
Filed under: Vreelandella stevensii
Lineage: Bacteria; Pseudomonadati; Pseudomonadota; Gammaproteobacteria; Oceanospirillales; Halomonadaceae
Description: partial 16S ribosomal RNA
Rfam family: Bacterial small subunit ribosomal RNA
Source: RNAcentral